GAACCGCCACACUGGGACUGAGAUACGGCCCAGACUCCUACGGGAGGCAGCAGUAGGGAAUUUUCCACAAUGGGCGAAAGCCUGAUGGAGCGACACAGCGUGUGCGAUGAAGGCCUUCGGGUUGUAAAGCACUGUUAUAAGGGAAGAAAAAGUAGUAUAGGAAAUGAUAUUACCUUGACGGUACCUUGUCAGAAAGCAACGGCUAACUAUGUGCCAGCAGCCGCGGUAAUACAUAGGUUGCAAGCGUUAUCCGGAAUUAUUGGGCGUAAAGCGUCUGUAGGUUGUUUGUUAAGUCUGGUGUGAAAACUUGGGGCUCAACCCCAAAUUGCAUUGGAUACUGGCAAACUAGAGUUAUGUAGAGGUAAGCGGAAUUCCUUGUGAAGCGGUGAAAUGCGUAGAUAUAAGGAAGAACACCAACUUGGCGAAGGCAGCUUACUGGACAUACACUGACACUGAGAGACGAAAGCGUGGGGAGCAAACAGGAUUAGAUACCCUGGUAGUCCACGCUGUAAACGAUGAUGAUUAGCUGAUGGGGAACUCAUCGGCGCAGCUAACGCAUUAAAUCAUCCGCCUGAGUAGUAUGCUCGCAAGAGUGAAACUUAAAGGAAUUGACGGGGAUCCGCACAAGCGGUGGAGCAUGUGGUUUAAUUUGAAGAUACGCGUAGAACCUUACCCACUCUUGACAUCUUCCGCAAAGCUAUAGAGAUAUAGUGGAGGCUAACGGAAUGACAGAUGGUGCAUGGUUGUCGUCAGCUCGUGUCGUGAGAUGUUCGGUUAAGUCCUGCAACGAGCGCAACCCUUGUCCUUAGUUAGAUGAUCUAAGGAGACUGCCCGAGUAAUUGGGAGGAAGGUGGGGACGACGUCAAAUCAUCAUGCCUCUUACGAGUGGGGCAACACACGUGCUACAAUGGACGGUACAAAGAGAAGCAAGACGGCGACGUGGAGCAAAUCUCAAAAAACCGUUCUCAGUUCGGAUUGUAGUC
Molecule: ribosomal RNA, 983 nt
Filed under: Mycoplasmopsis ciconiae
Lineage: Bacteria; Bacillati; Mycoplasmatota; Mycoplasmoidales; Metamycoplasmataceae
Description: bacterial SSU rRNA
Rfam family: Bacterial small subunit ribosomal RNA
Source: RNAcentral